Molecule: ribosomal RNA, 354 nt
Filed under: uncultured bacterium
Lineage: Bacteria
Description: bacterial SSU rRNA
Rfam family: Bacterial small subunit ribosomal RNA
Source: RNAcentral
AACGAACGCUGGCGGCAGGCCUAACACAUGCAAGUCGAACGCUCCGCAAGGGGAGUGGCGCACGGGUGAGUAACACGUGGGAACCUACCUUCUGGUACGGAACAACCAAGGGAAACUUUGGCUAAGACCGUAUACGACCUCCGGGUGAAAGAUUGAUCGCCGGAAGAGGGGCCCGCGCCCGAUUAGGUAGUUGGUGAGGUAACGGCUCACCAAGCCUUCGAUCGGUAGCUGGUCUGAGAGGAUGACCAGCCACACUGGGACUGAGACACGGCCCAGACUCCUACGGGAGGCAGCAGUGGGGAAUAUUGGACAAUGGGCGCAAGCCUGAUCCAGCCAUGCCGCGUGAGUGAUGAA